This 382-nucleotide small RNA is filed under the name Teunomyces cretensis. RNAcentral's name for it is "eukaryotic LSU rRNA". The stretch from base 69 to 222 matches the Rfam family "5.8S ribosomal RNA". The record is from RNAcentral. Lineage: Eukaryota; Fungi; Ascomycota; Pichiomycetes; Serinales; Debaryomycetaceae.
GUUAUACACGUGUUUUUCACAUCAUAAACUCAUAAACCAUUAUUACAGUCAAGGAAAGAAACAAUCAAAACUUUCAACAACGGAUCUCUUGGUUCUCGCAUCGAUGAAGAACGCAGCGAAAUGCGAUACGUAAUAUGAAUUGCAGAUUUUCGUGAAUCAUCGAAUCUUUGAACGCACAUUGCGCCCUGUGGUAUUCCACAGGGCAUGCCUGUUUGAGCGUCAUUUCUCUCUCAAGCCUUUGGCUUGGUGUUGAGUUUGCUCGGCUUACUUGAAAAGUAUGUGUGCAUUUGUUUUAGGUACAACCAUGUCAAAUGCAUUACCCACCCCAAGUUUGACCUCAAAUCAGGUAGGACUACCCGCUGAACUUAAGCAUAUCAAUAAG